Molecule: RNA transcript, 265 nt
Organism: Fundulus heteroclitus (mummichog)
Lineage: Eukaryota; Metazoa; Chordata; Actinopteri; Cyprinodontiformes; Fundulidae
Exons: 4
Source: RefSeq, a predicted model, not a curated record
AAGCCUUUUAUCUCUGAUAGUUAUUAAUGCUGAGGUCUGGCUAAACCAGAGGAUCAUAUGGACAUCAGCUGAGAGUGAGGAACAUCCUGCCAAGAUGCUGUUGAGUCUGUUAUUCAUCUUACUGAUUGGAAGGCUGUAUGUAACACCACUGACAUAUGAUGUCUGCAACGCACAGAACAUAAACCUGACAGAGAAGAAGGCAUCUCAGUCUUCAACCUUCACUAAUGAUAAUCACAUACCAUACAUCGCUGACAGAGCCUUUGAU